This 253-nucleotide ribosomal RNA is filed under the name uncultured bacterium. Its description in RNAcentral is "partial 16S ribosomal RNA". It matches the Rfam family "Bacterial small subunit ribosomal RNA", at positions 524 to 776 of the family's 1533-position model. The record is from RNAcentral.
GACGUAGGGCGCGAGCGUUGUCCGGAUUUAUUGGGCGUAAAGAGCUCGUAGGCGGCUUGUCGCGUCGACUGUGAAAACCCGCGGCUCAACUGUGGGCGUGCGGGCGAUACGGGCAGACUGGAGUACUGCAGGGGAGACUGGAAUUCCUGGUGUAGCGGUGAAAUGCGCAGAUAUCAGGAGGAACACCGGUGGCGAAGGCGGUUCUCUGGGCCUGUACUGACGCUGAGGAACGAAAGCGUGGGGAGCGAACAGG